Non-coding RNA from Mycena albidolilacea, 104 nucleotides. Lineage: Eukaryota; Fungi; Basidiomycota; Agaricomycetes; Agaricales; Mycenaceae. The record is from the annotation of a GenBank genome assembly.
GCUUUCUUGGCUCAGCUGGUUAGAGCGCCAGUCUCAUAUUUGUGUGUGAGGGAUCAUUGGAUCCUUUAAUCUGGAGGUCGUGAGUUCGAUCCUCACAGAGAGCA